Molecule: ribosomal RNA, 136 nt
Filed under: uncultured bacterium
Lineage: Bacteria
Description: partial 16S ribosomal RNA
Rfam family: Bacterial small subunit ribosomal RNA
Source: RNAcentral
UAGGGAAUAUUGGGCAAUGGAGGCAACUCUGACCCAGCCAUGCCGCGUGCAGGAAGACGGUCCUCUGGAUUGUAAACUGCUUUUGAAUGGGAAGAAACGCACUUUUGCGAAAGUGUUUGACGGGACUAUUACAAUA